GCCCAAUUGUUUUCCUUAAAUAUACCCCAAACUCUCUGCCUCAAAAAAUGAAGAAACCCUAGAUGCCAUCACAUCUCUCCAAAAAUGAAUAAUGUCGUUCUCUUUGUUCUUCAUACAGUUACAUAACCUGUUCGUUGCAAGUGUGAAUGAAAUUUUAACCUAGUCUUCAGAUCCAAUUAGUGGCACCAUAGUGAGGAAUAGAAAAGUAAGUCUUCUAUAGGCGUUGAGAUUGCAAGUGUUAGAGCCAACUGAAGACAUUCUUGAUUCACUUUUAUUUUCAUUUGAUUUCAUCUAUUUCUUACUAAAGUUAUAUUCUUUUGCAGUAGCUUCCGAGAUCGCUCAUCUUCUAUUUCCAGGUAAGCUCUACUUUUUUUAGCUUACAGUGUCAAAUAUUGUUAUUUUCCUUUGAGAUUUGUGUGGUUAGAUUCUUUUUCUUCUUCUUUUUUGAGAGAUAAAAUAAGAUUGGUUGUCUAAAUUGAGAUAAUUUGGUUGUCUAAUUUGGUUAUCUGGAAUUUCUUUUGAAGAAAAUAUUGUAUCAUUAUCUUUCUUUUGAGAAGAGAUAGAUUGCAAAAUAAAUUAAUUAAAUGAACUGAAAAUCGAACUGGGAAACUCUUGUACUUGCAUAUAAAUUUGAUUCACUUCAAUUAGAUUGAUCUACAGUUGCACACGGGGUCAUUUGCACUUUUUCCCUUAUUUUGUGCUCGCCUUUAAUUUGUUUAGUGCCUAGUUUAUAUUAUCAUAAUAUUCCACAAGUCUUGCACUUAAAUGAGUUGCUAAUACAUGAGUUGCUAGAGGGAAAAACAUACAAUUUUAUAUUGUACACUAUCACAAAGAUGGUAGUUUAUCUGCUACUUAGAAUUAAGCCUGCAUUUAAAAAAAAUAUUUUGUUUGGUCACUGAAUGUUGUUGAUAGAUAGAUAUAUAGAUAGAGAAUAUGAGACUAGGAUGAUAGUGUCUUCCCUUCUUCUUUUAAGCAACUCAAUAUGGCAAGAAAAUAAAGGGACUGUAUCUUGGUGGGGCAGUCUGGAUGGCUUGUGAUUUUGUGUCAUUUCGUGAUUUUUUUUUCUUUUACUUGGGUUUGAUGAACUUGAACCGACGGUCUUUUCUGAACGGCCUCUCCACCUCCCUGAAGGUAGUGGUAAGGUCUGCGUACACUCUACCCUCCAAGGCCCCCACUUUGUGGGAUUCCAUUGGGUAUGUUGUUGUUGUUGUUGUUGUUGUUGUUUUUGAUAUAUAAUUAUUUGAACUGACAUUUUUGGAUUUAAAUUUGGUGGGUCCAAGUUUUACUUUACUAAGAUCUUGCUAUGGAGGGUUGCUUUUAAUUGGGAUCUCCAAUUUUGUAAUUAGUUUCCAUUGUUUCAUGAGGAUUUAAUCUUUACAUGUUUUGGGCUUUAAUCAUUUAUUGUGGCCACUAUAUAAUAAUAUUAUGUAUUUGGUGCAUUUGUUGAUAUGUGUGCUUAAGCUCAAGGCAAUCAAACAUUUACUUUAAAAUUAUUGGACCAGUGGUAUUGAGUUAUAACUAAAUUUUGUGAUAACGAGACAUGAUACUUGUACUAGCUAGUAUUAGACUAUAUAGAUGUUCCUAAUUGUUUUGUUAAAUAAUUCUGAUAAAUAGAACUGCCUUAUUGUUAUUCUUUUGCAAGCCAUAUCCACCAUGAACUAAUGGAGUAAUUUAGUUAAAGUUACUAUAGGAGAGUAUGUGGAAAAGAAAGGAAAUAUUACUUUUGUUAUGAUAAGCGUAUGAAUUUGUGCAAUAACAAAAAUUAUGAGGACUUCGUUGAUGUUUGUCAUGAAUAUGCUCCUCUUUUAACUUCGUUUUGGUGAUAGUAUGAAUGAAUCUUAAUUUCAUCUAAUCUUUUCAUUCAAGAACUUGCCUGAAUCUUUGAAAUUUGUUUGACAUCUUAGAUACAAGGUAAACUUUUUAUAUUUUGAAAUGAUUUUGCAGACUUGUUCGAGUUAUGAUUAUUGAACACCAGAUUUUGGCUAAAUAAAAAUAAGUACAAGCAGCAUGAUACAAUAUAAUGUUAAAGACAUAUCUGUAAUGAUUUAUAAAACCAUUUUAUUUUUACAAAAGAAAAAGAGGGAAUGACGCUAUUGUUUAUGAUAUCCUUCAAGUGUGUAUGAAGGACUAUACUAAGACUCUUAUGAAAAUAACGCUGACCUUGUUAAGAGCUUAAAAUUCUCCUAAGUUUUGCUUUUAUAUGUGCCUUGAAUUUCUUUGUCCAUCAUCUUUUAGAGAAUAACUUUGAGAGACAACUAACCAUGAUGUAAGUAUUUUAUCAUAAAAUAUUUUCACUUUCUUAAGUUUUUUUGUGUAAAUGUAUAUGACAGGCUUAUACCGAAGGAAAGGUCGUCGUGUUUGCUCGAGUAGCUGGGCACAUAAAAUAUUAAUAUGCCAGUGUAUAUCAUCUUAAAACUUAGCUGAUAGAAGUGAGCUUGAUUAUUAUUUUUGAGUUUUUCCUAUAUCUCCCUAGAUUAGGUAAUGUAAAACUUUUCUUGGUUUGGUUUGUGUUUUCUAGAUCUCUAGUCUAAUAAUUUAUCAUUGUAGUGUUAGUAUAUGAUUUUAUAGAUAACAUACUGUAGUGCCAUCACCCUAUGUGACUUUAAAAUUUGAGUAAUUUAGAACAAUUAUAUCAUGUCAGAGUGUAAUUUAGAGCAAUCUUUGCAUGUUUUGAUUUCCAUUUGAAAACAUCUGAUUCAAUGUUCUUGAUUCAGAAAAUUGGAUCAUUAAAUAUUCUGCUUUAUCGUCGUAAUAUUUAGCUGAUAAGAGUGAGUUGUAAUUUUCUAUUUGUCCUGUUUUUGCUUAGACUAGGUAGUGUGAAAAGUUUCUUUGGUUUGUGUCUUCUGAAGCUCUAGUUUAGGUGUUUUCUAAUUGUGAUGUAUAAAAUGGAGAUGUCAAUCAUGGUGUUACUAUGUGAUUUGCAGAUAAUUAAUUGAAGUAAGCUAGUGUAAGUCAGCAUCUAAAUUUAUCAAUACAUAUAUUGUAGAGAGAUUUGUGAUUAAUUUUGUUGAAGAAUUUUGUGAUUAAUUUUGUUGAAGAAUUUUGUGAUUAAUGUUGACCAUUAAUAUUAGGGUAUUUUUGGAAAGAAUGGAUCUACAUGAUCCAUAUAGUUGGGAAAAGCAUGAAAUAUACAGUGAUAGGGUGUACCUUUUUUAUCACUUGCCACUAAGAUGGAGGAUGAAAUUAGUGUGUAUCUUGUUCUUGUUAGAGGGUGUUUUAUGUUUACAUUUGUACAAUAUACAAUAAAGUUAGAAACUGACGAUUUGGGAUGUCAUACUUCUUUUAUAAUCAACAAUCAAGUUUGUAUAGAAAUUGACUAUUUAGUAUAAUUUUUGUUAUUUGUAAUAUAUUAUAUGUAAAUGACUGAAUGCAUUUAAUAAGAGAAGUUAUCAUUUGGUUCUUAUAUGGAAUAUAAUAGAACUGUCACAACGGGACUGUGAAAUAGUUAAAUGGGAAUUAGCCAAGGG
This 3467-nucleotide long non-coding RNA is filed under the name Solanum tuberosum (potato). RNAcentral's name for it is "long non-coding RNA (STUB_LNC006270)". The record is from RNAcentral. Lineage: Eukaryota; Viridiplantae; Streptophyta; Magnoliopsida; Solanales; Solanaceae.